UCCGUAGGUGAACCUGCGGAAGGAUCACUAAAGUAAACGCCCUCCGGGGCUCUCUUUAAUUCACACACCCCUGUGCACUUUGGCCACCUGCCGCGCUUUACUGCGUUAGUAGGUGUGUCUUUUUAACUAUACACUAUAUACACAAGUCAUUGAAUGUAAAAUCGUUAUAAACUAAUAUAACUUUCAACAACGGAUCUCUUGGUUCUCGCAUCGAUGAAGAACGCAGCGAAUUGCGAUAAGUAAUGUGAAUUGCAGAAUUCAGUGAAUCAUCGAAUCUUUGAACGCAUCUUGCGCUCUUUGGUAUUCCGAAGAGCAUGCCUGUCUGAGUGUCAUGAAACUCUCACUCCUCAUCUUUCUUUAUUGAGAGGUAGGGACGUGGAUUUGGAUCUGUUGCUGGUGAAUCUGAUUCAUCGGCUCGUCCGAAAUAUAUUAGCUGGAUCCUCUUUGUCAAUUGGUUCUACUCGACGUAAUAAGUAUUUCGUCGAGGACGGUCUUCGGAUCGGCCGAUAGAAAGAGUCUUUUUUUAGAUCCGCUUCUAAUCCGUGCGAUUUUAUUAUCCACACACUUUUAUGAUCUGGCCUCAAAUCAGGUGGGACUACCCGCUGAACUUAAGCAUAUCAAUAAGCGGAGGAAAAGAAACUAACAAGGAUUCCCCUAGUAACGGCGAGUGAAGCGGGAUGAGCUCAAAUUUAAAAUCUGGCAGUCUAAGAUUGUCCGAGUUGUAGUCUAGAGAAGCGUUUUCCGCGUAGGCCUGUGUACAAGUCCCUUGGAAUAGGGCGUCAUAGAGAGUGAGAAUCCCGUCCUUGACACAGAUCAUCUAUGCUCUGCGAUGCGCUCUCGAAGAGUCGAGUUGUUUGGGAAUGCAGCUCAAAAUGGGUGGUAAAUUCCAUCUAAAGCUAAAUAUUGGCGAGAGACCGAUAGCGAACAAGUACCGUGAGGGAAAGAUGAAAAGCACUUUGGAAAGAGAGUUAAACAGUACGUGAAAUUGUUGAAAGGGAAACGCUUGAAGU
This 1010-nucleotide small RNA is filed under the name uncultured fungus. RNAcentral's name for it is "eukaryotic LSU rRNA". The stretch from base 576 to 1010 matches the Rfam family "Eukaryotic large subunit ribosomal RNA", at positions 1 to 429 of the family's 3401-position model. The record is from RNAcentral. Lineage: Eukaryota; Fungi.